AUGCUCCUAUGUUGUGUUAAGUGUUGGCAGAUAUCCGGAUCUCACCCUAAGGUCCGGCCUUAGACCCCGAACUUCCCCCUCCCCAUACGAAGUCCGGGGUUUUUUUUGCCUGCGA
This 115-nucleotide small RNA is filed under the name Pseudomonas asturiensis. Its description in RNAcentral is "Pseudomon-1 RNA". It matches the Rfam family "Pseudomon-1/ErsA RNA". From Rfam's summary of the family: Functions to regulate the AlgC enzyme. Based on this information, the new name ErsA for the RNA was adopted. Lineage: Bacteria; Pseudomonadati; Pseudomonadota; Gammaproteobacteria; Pseudomonadales; Pseudomonadaceae. The record is from RNAcentral.